GUAGUUAGCCGGGGCUUCCUCCUUGAUUACCGUCUUCCCCUCUUCAUCAAGGACAGAGGUUUACGAUCCGAAAACCUUCUUCCCUCACGCGGCGUUGCUGGGUCAGGGUUUCCCCCAUUGCCCAAUAUUCCCCACUGCUGCCUCCCGUAGGAGUCUGGACCGUCUCUCAGUUCCAGUGUGGCCGAUCAGCCUCUCAGCUCGGCUACCCAUCGUAGACUUGGUGGGCCGUUGCCCCGCCAACUAUCUAAUGGGACGCGAGCCCCUCUCCCUGCGGAUUUCUCCUUUGACCCCUCUGCCAUGCGACAGUGUGGUCUUAUGCGGUAUUAGCACCAGUUUCCCGGUGUUAUCCCCCGGUAUAAGGUAGGUUACCCACGCGUUACUCACCCGUCCGCCACUCAGUCACCUUGGCGAUUCCACUCUUAGCAAGCUAAUUGCUUCUUCAAUAAGGUGCUUCGUUCGACUUGCAUGUGUUAAGCACGCCGCCAGCGUUCAUCCUAAGCCAGGAUCAAACUCUGA
Molecule: ribosomal RNA, 516 nt
Filed under: uncultured bacterium
Lineage: Bacteria
Description: partial 16S ribosomal RNA
Source: RNAcentral